Molecule: ribosomal RNA, 253 nt
Filed under: uncultured bacterium
Lineage: Bacteria
Description: partial 16S ribosomal RNA
Rfam family: Bacterial small subunit ribosomal RNA
Source: RNAcentral
GACGAACUGCGCGAACGUUAUUCGGAAUCACUGGGCUUAAAGGGUGCGUAGGCGGCCCGGCAGGUGGGGUGUGAAAUCCCUCGGCUCAACCGAGGAAUUGCGCUUCAAACCGCCGGACUUGAGGGAGAUAGAGGUGAGCGGAACUCACGGUGGAGCGGUGAAAUGCGUUGAUAUCGUGAGGAACACCGGUGGCGAAGGCGGCUCACUGGGUCUCUACUGACGCUGAGGCACGAAAGCCAGGGGAGCGAACGGG